RNAcentral lists this ribosomal RNA (433 nucleotides) under uncultured bacterium. RNAcentral describes it as "partial 16S ribosomal RNA". It matches the Rfam family "Bacterial small subunit ribosomal RNA", at positions 29 to 507 of the family's 1533-position model. The record is from RNAcentral.
AACGAACGCUGGCGGCAUGCCUAACACAUGCAAGUCGAACGAGACCUUCGGGUCUAGUGGCGCACGGGUGCGUAACGCGUGGGAACCUGCCCUUAGGUUCGGAAUAACUCCCCGAAAGGGGUGCUAAUACCGGAUAAUGUCUUCGGACCAAAGAUUUAUCGCCUUUGGAUGGGCCCGCGUUGGAUUAGCUAGUUGGUAGGGUAAAAGCCUACCAAGGCGACGAUCCAUAGCUGGUCUGAGAGGAUGAUCAGCCACACUGGGACUGAGACACGGCCCAGACUCCUACGGGAGGCAGCAGUGGGGAAUAUUGGACAAUGGGCGAAAGCCUGAUCCAGCAAUGCCGCGUGAGUGAUGAAGGCCUUAGGGUUGUAAAGCUCUUUUACCCGGGAUGAUAAUGACAGCACCGGAAGAAUAAGCUCCGGCUAACUCCGUG